UAGGGAAUCUUCCACAAUGGACGCAAGUCUGAUGGAGCAACGCCGCGUGAGUGAAGAAGGUUUUCGUAUCGUAAAGCUCUGUUGUUGGUGAAGAAGGAUAGAGGCAGUAACUGGUCUUUAUUUGACGGUAAUCAACCAGAAAGUCACGGCUAACUACGUGCCAGCAUCCGCGGUAAUACGUAGGUGGCAAGCGUUGUCCGGAUUUAUUGGGCGUAAAUCGAGCGCAGGCGGAAUGUUAAGUCUGAUGUGAAAGCCCACGGCUCAAACGUGGAACUGCAUCGGAAACUGUCAAUCUUGAGUGCAGAAGAGGAGAGUGGAAUUCCAUGUGUAGCGGUGGAAUGCGUAGAUAUAUGGAAGAACACCAGUGGCGAAGGCGGCUCUCUGGUCUGCAACUGACGCUGAGGCUCGAAAGCAUGGGUAGCGAACAGG
This 429-nucleotide ribosomal RNA is filed under the name bacterium. Its description in RNAcentral is "partial 16S ribosomal RNA". It matches the Rfam family "Bacterial small subunit ribosomal RNA", at positions 355 to 776 of the family's 1533-position model. The record is from RNAcentral.